This 469-nucleotide ribosomal RNA is filed under the name uncultured bacterium. Its description in RNAcentral is "partial 16S ribosomal RNA". It matches the Rfam family "Bacterial small subunit ribosomal RNA", at positions 28 to 507 of the family's 1533-position model. The record is from RNAcentral.
GACGAACGCUGGCGGCGUGCUUAACACUUGCAAGUCGAACGGUGAAGCGAGUGCUUGCACUCGUGGAUCAGUGGCGAACGGGUGAGUAACACGUGAGUAACCUGCCCAUCACUCUGGGAUAAGCACUGGAAACGGUGUCUAAUACUGGAUACGACCAACCCUUGCAUGGGGUGUUGGUGGAAAGAUUUAUCGGUGAUGGAUGGACUCGCGGCCUAUCAGCUUGUUGGCGGGGUAAUGGCCCACCAAGGCGACGACGGGUAGCCGGCCUGAGAGGGUGACCGGCCACACUGGGACUGAGACACGGCCCAGACUCCUACGGGAGGCAGCAGUGGGGAAUAUUGCACAAUGGGCGAAAGCCUGAUGCAGCGACGCCGCGUGAGGGAUGACGGCCUUCGGGUUGUAAACCUCUUUCAGCAGGGAAGAAGCGAAAGUGACGGUACCUGCAGAAGAAGCACCGGCUAACUACGUG